This 694-nucleotide ribosomal RNA is filed under the name uncultured bacterium. Its description in RNAcentral is "bacterial SSU rRNA". It matches the Rfam family "Bacterial small subunit ribosomal RNA", at positions 32 to 715 of the family's 1533-position model. The record is from RNAcentral.
AACGCUAGCUACAGGCUUAACACAUGCAAGUCGAGGGGCAGCAUCAUCAAAGCUUGCUUUGAUGGAUGGCGACCGGCGCACGGGUGAGUAACGCGUAUCCAACCUGCCCAUUACCACGGGAUACCCCGUCGAAAGGCGGCCUAAUACCGUAUGCAGUCGUCAGAUGACAUCAGAGGACGACGAAAGGAUUGGCGGUAAUGGAUGGGGAUGCGUCUGAUUAGGUAGUUGGAGGGGUAACGGCCCACCAAGCCAUCGAUCAGUAGGGGUUCUGAGAGGAAGGUCCCCCACAUUGGAACUGAGACACGGUCCAAACUCCUACGGGAGGCAGCAGUGAGGAAUAUUGGUCAAUGGGCGCGAGCCUGAACCAGCCAAGUAGCGUGAGGGAUGACGGCCCUAUGGGUUGUAAACCUCUUUUAUGCGGGAAUAAAAUGUUUGACGUGUCAUACAUUGUAGGUACCGCAAGAAUAAGGACCGGCUAAUUCCGUGCCAGCAGCCGCGGUAAUACGGAAGGUCCAGGCGUUAUCCGGAUUUAUUGGGUUUAAAGGGAGCGUAGGCCGCAAGUCAAGCGUGUUGUGAAAUGCAGGGGCUCAACCUCUGGAUUGCAGCGCGAACUGGCAUGCUUGAGUACGCACGAGGUAGGCGGAAUUUGUGGUGUAGCGGUGAAAUGCUUAGAUAUCACGAAGAACUCCGAUUG